AACGCGAAGAACCUUACCAAGUCUUGACAUCCGCCUGACCGGAACGUAACGGUUCCUUUCCUUCGGGACAGGCGAGACAGGUGGUGCAUGGUUGUCGUCAGCUCGUGUCGUGAGAUGUUGGGUUAAGUCCCGCAACGAGCGCAACCCUUAUCCUUAGUAGCCAGCAGGUAAGGCUGGGCACUCUGGGGAGACUGCCGGAGACAAUCCGGAGGAAGGUGGGGAUGACGUCAAAUCAUCAUGCCCCUUAUGAUUUGGGCUACACACGUGCUACAAUGGCGUAAACAAAGGGAAGCGAAGGAGUGAUCCGGAGCGAACCCCAAAAAUAACGUCCCAGUUCGGAUUGUAGUCUGCAACUCGACUACAUGAAGCUGGAAUCGCUAGUAAUCGCGGAUCAGAAUGCCGCGGUGAAUACGUUCCCGGGUCUUGUACACAC
RNAcentral lists this ribosomal RNA (433 nucleotides) under uncultured bacterium. RNAcentral's name for it is "bacterial SSU rRNA". It matches the Rfam family "Bacterial small subunit ribosomal RNA", at positions 958 to 1390 of the family's 1533-position model. The record is from RNAcentral.